GACGAACGCUGGCGGCGUGCCUAAUACAUGCAAGUAGAACGCACGGUUUAUACCGUAGCUUGCUACACCAUAGACUGUGAGUUGCGAACGGGUGAGUAACGCGUAGGUAACCUGCCUGGUAGCGGGGGAUAACUAUUGGAAACGAUAGCUAAUACCGCAUAAUAUUAAUUAUUGCAUGAUAAUUAAUUGAAAGGUGCAAUUGCACCACUACCAGAUGGACCUGCGUUGUAUUAGCUAGUAGGUGAGGUAACGGCUCACCUAGGCGACGAUACAUAGCCGACCUGAGAGGGUGAUCGGCCACACUGGGACUGAGACACGGCCCAGACUCCUACGGGAGGCAGCAGUAGGGAAUCUUCGGCAAUGGACGAAAGUCUGACCGAGCAACGCCGCGUGAGUGAAGAAGGGUUUCGGAUCGUAAAGCUCUGUUGUAAGAGAAGAACGGGUGUGAGAGUGGAAAGUUCACACUGUGACGGUAUCUUACCAGAAAGGGACGGCUAGCUACGUG
Molecule: ribosomal RNA, 505 nt
Filed under: uncultured bacterium
Lineage: Bacteria
Description: partial 16S ribosomal RNA
Rfam family: Bacterial small subunit ribosomal RNA
Source: RNAcentral